RNAcentral lists this ribosomal RNA (451 nucleotides) under uncultured bacterium. RNAcentral describes it as "bacterial SSU rRNA". It matches the Rfam family "Bacterial small subunit ribosomal RNA", at positions 10 to 507 of the family's 1533-position model. The record is from RNAcentral.
AGUUUGAUCCUGGCUCAGAACGAACGCUGGCGGCAUGCCUAACACAUGCAAGUCGCACGGGCAGCAAUGUCAGUGGCGGACGGGUGAGUAACGCGUAGGAACAUGUCCAGUGGUGGGGAAUAACGUUGGGAAACUGACGCUAAUACCGCAUGAGCCCUGAGGGGGAAAGCAGCGAUGCGCCGAUGGAGUGGCCUGCGUAGGAUUAGCUUGUUGGUGGGGUAAUGGCCUACCAAGGCUACGAUCCUUAGCUGGUCUGAGAGGACGAUCAGCCACAUUGGGACUGAGACACGGCCCAAACUCCUACGGGAGGCAGCAGUGGGGAAUAUUGGACAAUGGGGGCAACCCUGAUCCAGCAAUGCCGCGUGUGUGAAGAAGGUCUUCGGAUUGUAAAGCACUUUCGACGGGGACGAUGAUGACGGUACCCGUAGAAGAAGCCCCGGCUAACUUCGUG